This 220-nucleotide unclassified non-coding RNA is filed under the name uncultured Tomentella. RNAcentral's name for it is "sequence contains ITS2". Lineage: Eukaryota; Fungi; Basidiomycota; Agaricomycetes; Thelephorales; Thelephoraceae. The record is from RNAcentral.
ACACCUCAACUCUCAUGGCUUUUGCAAUGAUGAGCUUGGACUUUGGGGGUCUUGCUGGCCUGUGGUCAGCUCCUCUCAAACAAAUUAGCUUGCCAGUGUUUGGUGGCAUCACGGGUGUGAUAACUAUCUACGCUUGUGGUUUUCCACCAAGUAACCUUCAGUGAUGAAGGUCUGCUGGGGCUCAUAAAUGUCUCUCCUCAGCGAGGACAGCUCUUUGAAC